AGCAGCCGCGGUAAUUCCAGCUCCAAUAGCGUAUAUUAAAGUUGUUGCAGUUAAAAAGCUCGUAGCUGAAUUUCGGGGUCAGUAGGUCGGUCGUGCCACUGGUAUGAACUGGUUUUACUGAUUCCUCCCUCUUGAAGAACUGUAAUGCCAUUAAUUUGGUGUUGCAGGGAAUCAGGACUGUUACUUUGAAAAAAUUAGAGUGUUUAAAGCAGGCUUUAGCUUGAAUACAUUAGCAUGGAAUAAUGAAAUAGGACGUUUGAUCCUAUUUUGUUGGUUUCUAGGAUUGACGUAAUGAUUAAUAGGGAUAGUUGGGGGCAUUAGUAUUCAAUUGUCAGAGGUGAAAUUCUUGGAUUUAUUGAAGACUAACUACUGCGAAAGCAUUUGCCAAGGAUGUUUUCAUUAAUCAAGAACGAAAGUUAGGGGAUCGAAGACGAUCAGAUACCGUCGUAGUCCUAACCAUAAACUAUGCCGACUAGGGAUCGGAUGAUGUUAAUUUUUUAAUGACUCA
Molecule: ribosomal RNA, 508 nt
Filed under: uncultured Glomus
Lineage: Eukaryota; Fungi; Glomeromycota; Glomeromycetes; Glomerales; Glomeraceae
Description: SSU rRNA
Rfam family: Eukaryotic small subunit ribosomal RNA
Source: RNAcentral